GAGAGUUAAAUAGUACGUGAAAUUGUUGAAAGGGAAACGAUUGAAGUCAGUCAUGCUAGUGAAAAAUCAGUUUAACGGGUUUUGAGUUCGGGAGUAGAGGCAGGGUCAAACCGUUUCUCUUUUGUACUUGGAAUUUGUUAGAUGUACUUUUUCUUUGGCAGGUCAGCGUCGAUUUCGGAGGUUGUAAAAUACUUGGGGGAAAGUAACUCUGCUUCGGGAGAGUAUUAUAGACCCUGGGGGAUGCAGCCUGCGGGAUCGAGGAUUGCAGCAAAUGCCUUUGGCUUGUCGCCUGAUCUCUGGAUGUUACCUCGCUUGUGACAACAUUCUUGCCACCUGUGGGUACUAAUGCCCAUUAGGUUAGAGCGAUCAAAAAUUUUGCUAAGGAUGCUGACGUAAUGGCUUUAAACGA
Molecule: ribosomal RNA, 409 nt
Filed under: uncultured Diversispora
Lineage: Eukaryota; Fungi; Glomeromycota; Glomeromycetes; Diversisporales; Diversisporaceae
Description: partial 28S ribosomal RNA
Source: RNAcentral